RNAcentral lists this ribosomal RNA (497 nucleotides) under uncultured bacterium. RNAcentral's name for it is "partial 16S ribosomal RNA". It matches the Rfam family "Bacterial small subunit ribosomal RNA", at positions 28 to 507 of the family's 1533-position model. The record is from RNAcentral.
GAUGAACGCUGGCGGCGUGCCUAAUACAUGCAAGUCGAGCGAACGGACGAGAAGCUUGCUUCUCUGAUGUUAGCGGCGGACGGGUGAGUAACACGUGGAUAACCUACCUAUAAGACUGGGAUAACUUCGGGAAACCGGAGCUAAUACCGGAUGAUAUUUUGAACCGCAUGGUUCAAAAGUGAAAGACGGUCUUGCUGUCACUUAUAGAUGGAUCCGCGCUGCAUUAGCUAGUUGGUAAGGUAACGGCUUACCAAGGCAACGAUGCAUAGCCGACCGGAGAGAGUGAUCGGCCACACUGGAACUGAGACACGGUCCAGACUCCUACGGGAGGCAGCAGUAGGGAAUCUGCCGCAAUGGGCGAAAGCCUGACGGAGCAACGCCGCGUGAGUGAUGAAGGUCUUCGGAUCGUAAAACUCUGUUAUUAGGGAAGAACAGAUGUGUAAGGAACUGUGCACAGCUUGACGGUACCUAAUCAGAAAGCCACGGCUAACUACGUG